Molecule: transfer RNA, 68 nt
Filed under: Pattonomys semivillosus (Speckled spiny tree-rat)
Lineage: Eukaryota; Metazoa; Chordata; Mammalia; Rodentia; Echimyidae
Also listed under: 1 other name
Description: tRNA-Phe
Rfam family: tRNA
About the family: Transfer RNA (tRNA) molecules are approximately 80 nucleotides in length. Their secondary structure includes four short double-helical elements and three loops (D, anti-codon, and T loops).
Source: RNAcentral
GUUAAUGUAGCUUAUCGCUAAAGCAAAGCACUGAAAAUGCUUAGAAGAGAACUAAUUCUCCAUAAACA